RNAcentral lists this ribosomal RNA (435 nucleotides) under uncultured bacterium. RNAcentral's name for it is "bacterial SSU rRNA". It matches the Rfam family "Bacterial small subunit ribosomal RNA", at positions 29 to 507 of the family's 1533-position model. The record is from RNAcentral.
AACGAACGCUGGCGGCAUGCCUAACACAUGCAAGUCGAACGAUGCCUUCGGGCAUAGUGGCGCACGGGUGCGUAACGCGUGGGAAUCUGCCCUUGGGUUCGGAAUAACUCAGAGAAAUUUGAGCUAAUACCGGAUGAUGACGUAAGUCCAAAGAUUUAUCGCCCAAGGAUGAGCCCGCGUAAGAUUAGCUAGUUGGUGGGGUAAAGGCCUACCAAGGCGACGAUCUUUAGCUGGUCUGAGAGGAUGAUCAGCCACACUGGGACUGAGACACGGCCCAGACUCCUACGGGAGGCAGCAGUGGGGAAUAUUGGACAAAUGGGCGAAAGCCUGAUCCAGCAAUGCCGCGUGAGUGAUGAAGGCCUUAGGGUUGUAAAAGCUCUUUUACCAGGGAUGAUAAUGACAGUACCUGGAGAAUAAGCUCCGGCUAACUCCGUG